Molecule: ribosomal RNA, 254 nt
Filed under: uncultured bacterium
Lineage: Bacteria
Description: partial 16S ribosomal RNA
Rfam family: Bacterial small subunit ribosomal RNA
Source: RNAcentral
GACGAACCGUGCGAACGUUAUUCGGAAUCAUUGGGCUUAAAGGGCGCGUAGGCGGCGGCGUAAGUUGGAAGUGAAAUCCCAUCGGCUCAACCGUGGAAUCGCUCCCAGUACUGCGUCGCUCGAGGGGGAUAGGGGUCUGCGGAACUACCGGUGGAGCGGUGAAAUGUGUUGAUAUCGGUGGGAACACCAGUGGCGAAGGCGGCUCACUGGCCCGGUACUGACGCUGAGGUGCGAAAGCGUGGGGAGCAAACAGG